ACACGUGGGUAACCUGCCUUAUAGUGGGGGAUAGCCUUUCGAAAGGAAGAUUAAUACCGCAUAAGAUUGUAGUAUCGCAUGAUAUAGCAAUUAAAGGAGCAAUUCGCUAUAAGAUGGACCCGCGUCGCAUUAGCUAGUUGGUGAGGUAAUGGCUCACCAAGGCGACGAUGCGUAGCCGACCUGAGAGGGUGAACGGCCACAUUGGGACUGAGACACGGUCCAGACUCCUACGGGAGCAGCAUG
RNAcentral lists this ribosomal RNA (243 nucleotides) under uncultured bacterium. Its description in RNAcentral is "partial 16S ribosomal RNA". It matches the Rfam family "Bacterial small subunit ribosomal RNA", at positions 113 to 353 of the family's 1533-position model. The record is from RNAcentral.